CGGCGGACGGGUGAGUAACGCGUGGGUAACCUGCCUUACACUGGGGGAUAACAGUUAGAAAUGACUGCUAAUACCGCAUAAGCGCACAGUACCGCAUGGUACAGUGUGAAAAACUCCGGUGGUGUGAGAUGGAUCCGCGUCUGAUUAGCCAGUUGGCGGGGUAACGGCCCACCAAAGCGACGAUCAGUAGCCGACCUGAGAGGGUGACCGGCCACAUUGGGACUGAGACACGGCCCAA
Molecule: ribosomal RNA, 238 nt
Filed under: uncultured bacterium
Lineage: Bacteria
Description: partial 16S ribosomal RNA
Rfam family: Bacterial small subunit ribosomal RNA
Source: RNAcentral